GGCUUUGUAGCGCAGCUGGUAGAGCGCUUGCCGCGUUAAGGCAUGAUGGUUCUGUCGCUGGCUCGAAUCCAGCCGAAGCCC
This 81-nucleotide transfer RNA is filed under the name Paragonimus skrjabini miyazakii. RNAcentral's name for it is "Paragonimus miyazakii tRNA". It matches the Rfam family "tRNA". Rfam says of the family: Transfer RNA (tRNA) molecules are approximately 80 nucleotides in length. Lineage: Eukaryota; Metazoa; Platyhelminthes; Trematoda; Plagiorchiida; Troglotrematidae. The record is from Rfam by way of RNAcentral.